GACGAACGCCGGCGGCGUGCUUAACACAUGCAAGUCGAGCGGAAAGGCCCUUCGGGGUACUCGAGCGGCGAACGGGUGAGUAACACGUGAGUAACCUGCCCCAGACUUUGGGAUAACCCUCGGAAACGGGGGCUAAUACCGGAUACGACACAGCUUCGCAUGGGGUCUGUGUGGAAAGUUUUUCGGUUUGGGAUGGGCUCGCGGCCUAUCAGCUUGUUGGUGGGGUGAUGGCCUACCAAGGCGACGACGGGUAGCCGGCCUGAGAGGGCGACCGGCCACACUGGGACUGAGACACGGCCCAGACUCCUACGGGAGGCAGCAGUGGGGAAUAUUGCACAAUGGGCGGAAGCCUGAUGCAGCGACGCCGCGUGAGGGAUGACGGCCUUCGGGUUGUAAACCUCUUUCAGCAGGGACGAAGCGUAAGUGACGGUACCUGCAGAAGAAGCGCCGGCCAACUACGUG
This 462-nucleotide ribosomal RNA is filed under the name uncultured bacterium. RNAcentral's name for it is "partial 16S ribosomal RNA". It matches the Rfam family "Bacterial small subunit ribosomal RNA", at positions 28 to 507 of the family's 1533-position model. The record is from RNAcentral.